This 449-nucleotide ribosomal RNA is filed under the name uncultured bacterium. Its description in RNAcentral is "partial 16S ribosomal RNA". It matches the Rfam family "Bacterial small subunit ribosomal RNA", at positions 29 to 523 of the family's 1533-position model. The record is from RNAcentral.
AACGAACGCUGGCGGCAUGCCUAACACAUGCAAGUCGAACGAAGGCUUCGGCCUUAGUGGCGCACGGGUGCGUAACGCGUGGGAAUCUGCCCCUCGGUUCGGAAUAACAGUUAGAAAUGACUGCUAAUACCGGAUGAUGACUUCGGUCCAAAGAUUUAUCGCCGAGGGAUGAGCCCGCGUAAGAUUAGGUAGUUGGUGGGGUAAAGGCCUACCAAGCCGACGAUCUUUAGCUGGUCUGAGAGGAUGAUCAGCCACACUGGGACAGAGACACGGCCCAGACUCCUACGGGAGGCAGCAGUGGGGAAUAUUGGACAAUGGGCGAAAGCCUGAUCCAGCAAUGCCGCGUGAGUGAUGAAGGCCUUAGGGUUGUAAAGCUCUUUUACCAGGGAUGAUAAUGACAGUACCUGGAGAAUAAGCUCCGGCUAACUCCGUGCCAGCAGCCGCGGUAA